This 80-nucleotide transfer RNA is filed under the name Mycobacterium parmense. RNAcentral describes it as "tRNA-Asp". The record is from RNAcentral. Lineage: Bacteria; Bacillati; Actinomycetota; Actinomycetes; Mycobacteriales; Mycobacteriaceae.
CCCGGCCUGGUUGGUGGUGGUCUUGUCGUUGUCGUUGACGAAACUCUGGUCGCCCGGGCGUUCCAUCACCGGGUCGGCGC